GACGAACGCUGGCGGCGUGCUUUACACAUGCAAGUCGAACGGAAAGGCCCUGCUUUUGUGGGGUGCUCGAGUGGCGAACGGGUGAGUAACACGUGAGUAACCUGCCCUUGACUUUGGGAUAACUUCAGGAAACUGGGGCUAAUACCGGAUAGGAGCUCCUGCUGCAUGGUGGGGGUUGGAAAGUUUCGGCGGUUGGGGAUGGACUCGCGGCUUAUCAGCUUGUUGGUGGGGUAGUGGCUUACCAAGGCUUUGACGGGUAGCCGGCCUGAGAGGGUGACCGGCCACAUUGGGACUGAGAUACGGCCCAGACUCCUACGGGAGGCAGCAGGGGGGAAUAUGGCACAAUGGGCGGAAGCCUGAUGCAGCAACGCCGCGUGCGGGAUGACGGCCUUCGGGUUGUAAACCGCUUUCGCCGGUGACGAAGCGUGAGUGACGGUAAUGGGUAAAGAAGCACCGGCUAACUACGUG
Molecule: ribosomal RNA, 468 nt
Filed under: uncultured bacterium
Lineage: Bacteria
Description: partial 16S ribosomal RNA
Rfam family: Bacterial small subunit ribosomal RNA
Source: RNAcentral